CAAGUCGAGCGAGGACCACUCGGUGGCAACACCGGGUGACUCCUAGCGGCGAACGGGUGAGUAACACGUGGGUAACCUGCCCCCGACACCGGGAUAAGCCUGGGAAACUGGGUCUAAUACCGGAUAUGAGCCUCCUCCGCAUGGUGGAGGCUGGAAAGGGUCUCCGGUCGGGGAUGGGCCCGCGUCCUAUCAGCUUGUUGGUGGGGUGAUGGCCUACCAAGGCGACGACGGGUAGCCGGCCUGAGAGGGUGUACGGCCACACUGGGACUGAGACACGGCCCAGACUCCUACGGGAGGCAGCAGCGGGGAAUAUUGCGCAAUGGGCGAAAGCCUGACGCAGCGACGCCGCGUGCGGGACGAAGGCCUUCGGGUUGUAGACCGCUUUCAGCAGGGACGAAGCGAGAGUGACGGUACCUGCAGAAGAAGGUCCGGCCAACUACGUGCCAGCAGCCGCGGUAAUACGUAGGGACCGAGCGUUAUCCGGAUUCAUUGGGGCGUAAAGAGCUCGUAGGCGGCUAUCCAAGUCGAACGUGAAAUCUCGGAGCUCAACUCCGAGCCUGCGUUCGAUACUGUAUGGCUAGAGUCUGGUAGGGGGAUCUGGAAUUCCUGGUGUAGCGGUGGAAUGCGCAAAUAUCAGGAGGAACACCGGUUG
This 652-nucleotide ribosomal RNA is filed under the name uncultured Actinomycetes bacterium. Its description in RNAcentral is "bacterial SSU rRNA". It matches the Rfam family "Bacterial small subunit ribosomal RNA", at positions 58 to 715 of the family's 1533-position model. The record is from RNAcentral. Lineage: Bacteria; Bacillati; Actinomycetota; Actinomycetes.